CCCUCUCAGGUUCUGGUGACUGGCUGACCUCCCCUCUCCCCCUCAGAGGCCCAAGAGCAGCAGAGGGAGGUCAAGCAACCUUGCACCGAGGACUCAUGGCCAUGAACUUUCAAGAAAACGUGACACUGGCCAUCGCCGUGUUCACCAUCCUGGCCUCCAUCUACUUCUUCAACAAGGCUCAGCGAUGAGAAAGAGAAGACACAGGACAGCUUAAUCCAAGAGCCCUGCCUCUGCCCCGACCAUGACUCUGGCCUCUGAGACCUAAUAAAUGUGACUGAGUCAGCACA
Molecule: long non-coding RNA, 287 nt
Organism: Eptesicus fuscus (big brown bat)
Lineage: Eukaryota; Metazoa; Chordata; Mammalia; Chiroptera; Vespertilionidae
Exons: 3
Source: RefSeq, a predicted model, not a curated record